RNAcentral lists this transfer RNA (76 nucleotides) under Bacillota bacterium. RNAcentral's name for it is "tRNA-Arg". It matches the Rfam family "tRNA". Rfam says of the family: Transfer RNA (tRNA) molecules are approximately 80 nucleotides in length. The record is from RNAcentral. Lineage: Bacteria; Bacillati; Bacillota.
GCGCCCGUAGCUCAGUGGAUAGAGCAGCGGUUUCCUAAACCGCGUGUCGCAGGUUCGAUUCCUGCCGGGGCUACCA